Molecule: ribosomal RNA, 394 nt
Filed under: uncultured bacterium
Lineage: Bacteria
Description: bacterial SSU rRNA
Rfam family: Bacterial small subunit ribosomal RNA
Source: RNAcentral
GUGUCAGCAGCCGCGGUAAUACGGAGGGUGCGAGCGUUAAUCGGAAUCACUGGGCGUAAAGGGCGCGUAGGCGGUGGGUUACGUCUGCCGUGAAAUCCCCGGGCUCAACCUGGGAAUGGCGGUGGAAACGGGCUGACUAGAGUAUGGGAGAGGGUGAUGGAAUUCCAGGUGUAGCGGUGAAAUGCGUAGAGAUCUGGAGGAACAUCAGUGGCGAAGGCGGUCACCUGGCCCAAUACUGACGCUGAGGCGCGAAAGCGUGGGGAGCAAACAGGAUUAGAUACCCUGGUAGUCCACGCCCUAAACGAUGGAUACUAGAUGUUUGGUGCCUUAGGUGCUGAGUGUCGUAGCUAACGUGAUAAGUAUCCCGCCUGGGAAGUACGGCCGCAAGGUUAAA